CAUUGAAAUGUUUGUAGAGAGUUCGGUUGGUUCUCUCAUUUAUUCCUGGAAAAGGACACUAUGAUUACAGCUCCUGAUCACUCAAAGACGCAACUGGUUAUCAACCUAUACCUACUGCCCCACACUGAUCUAUCAAGUCACAUUCAAGAAACUAUACCAUAUUAUUCCAUCACUGGUCUAUCAAACCAUCUCAAAGAAAAUAAAGAAUCAAGAAGUGAAAAGA
Molecule: long non-coding RNA, 223 nt
Organism: Micropterus salmoides (largemouth bass)
Lineage: Eukaryota; Metazoa; Chordata; Actinopteri; Centrarchiformes; Centrarchidae
Exons: 2
Source: RefSeq, a predicted model, not a curated record